RNAcentral lists this ribosomal RNA (840 nucleotides) under uncultured rumen bacterium. RNAcentral describes it as "bacterial SSU rRNA". It matches the Rfam family "Bacterial small subunit ribosomal RNA", at positions 34 to 881 of the family's 1533-position model. The record is from RNAcentral.
CGCUGGCGGCGUGCCUAAUACAUGCAAGUCGAACGAGGGAAGGCAAGCUUGCUUGCCGGAACGAGUGGCGAACGGGUGAGUAAUACAUAAGCAACCUGCCUGUAAGGACCGGGAUAAUGCCUGGAAACGGGUACUAAGACCGGAUAGGCAUAGAUGGGGCAUCCCAUUUAUGUUAAAGGUGAGAGACACAAACAGAUGGGCUUAUGGCGCAUUAGCCAGUUGGUGAGGUAACGGCCCACCAAAGCGAUGAUGCGUAGCCGGCCUGAGAGGGUGAACGGCCACAUUGGGACUGAGACACGGCCCAGACUCCUACGGGAGGCAGCAGUAGGGAAUUUUCGGCAAUGGGGGGAACCCUGACCGAGCAACGCCGCGUGAGUGAAGAAGGUUUUCGGAUUGUAAAGCUCUGUUGCAAGGGAAGAACGGCACAUAGAGGAUAUGUGAGUGACGGUACCUUGCGAGGAAGCCACGGCUAACUACGUGCCAGCAGCCGCGGUAAUACGUAGGUGGCGAGCGUUAUCCGGAAUUAUUGGGCGUAAAGGGUGCGUAGGCGGCCUUUUAAGUUUAAGGUGAAAGCGUGGGGCUUAACCCCAUAAAGCCUUAGAUACUGGGAGGCUAGAGUACUGGAGAGGAAAGUAGAAUUCCAUGUGUAGCGGUAAAAUGCGUAGAUAUAUGGAGGAAUACCGGUGGCGAAGGCGGCUUUCUAGACAGUAACUGACGCUGAGGCACGAAAGCGUGGGGAGCAAAUAGGAUUAGAUACCCUAGUAGUCCACGCUGUAAACGAUGAAUGCUAGUAUCGGGGCGACCGGUGCUGCACCCACGCAUAAGCAUUCCCCUGUGAGU